This 71-nucleotide transfer RNA is filed under the name Petasospora fabianii. RNAcentral describes it as "Cyberlindnera fabianii tRNA". It matches the Rfam family "tRNA". Rfam says of the family: Transfer RNA (tRNA) molecules are approximately 80 nucleotides in length. Their secondary structure includes four short double-helical elements and three loops (D, anti-codon, and T loops). Lineage: Eukaryota; Fungi; Ascomycota; Saccharomycetes; Phaffomycetales; Wickerhamomycetaceae. The record is from Rfam by way of RNAcentral.
GCGCCAGUAGUCUAGUGGUAAAACCCAUGUUUCCCAUACAUGAGCCCCGGGUUCGAUUCCCGGCUGGCGCA